This 884-nucleotide long non-coding RNA is filed under the name Calidris pygmaea (Spoon-billed sandpiper). Its description in RNAcentral is "lncRNA (ENSCPGG00000003886.1)". Lineage: Eukaryota; Metazoa; Chordata; Aves; Charadriiformes; Scolopacidae. The record is from RNAcentral.
CAUGGUGUUCGAACACAGGCAUGUGAGACCCUGAAAUACUCUGCGGCUUCAUCAGGCUUGAGAGAACAGACACAGCAUCCCCCUUUGCUGGCUGUGGAAGGAGCUGAUAGUAAAUCACAAGUCUGUUGCCUGAAAACACACUGCAAAUGAGAAGAGAUUUCCUCUGCGCAGAAUUUGCAGUUUGUGUAGAAAGUGUCUGUGAUACCUCUGCACCACAGGGAGAGGGGGCAUCAUGUUGUUGUCUCCAGCUAUAAAAGCGCUCUCGCACUGUUUUGUUCCAGCGGGUGAAUUAGCAAAUUGGAUUUGCUCCCAGGAGUAAAAUAUUCAUUUAUCAUUUCAUGGAAAACCCGACUGCUGUGUAAGAUGUGCUGUUGCCUGCUCCACAUCUGUUUGCGGUGAGCUACGAUGUGUUCCUCAGGAAGCUUUUAUCUCAGAAAUAAUGAUGGACACGCAGAAGCAACUGACCACGCAGAGCGGCUCUUGGCUGGUAUGUCCAUGCUAAAAUCCACUCUUGUGCUGUGCAAGUGUUAAGGAGGCAUUUACCUCGUUAACGCUGGCAAUGCGGGAGUGCAAACCAGAGGAAAGCCUGCAAAGCCACGUCUGCAACCACAUCUCAACAAAGGGCUGAUUCUGCCUCGAAAUACGCCACAUCUUCAUUUACUCAGCUCGUGUCCCUCCUGCCUUGGCCUCAAGCUGCAAAAUUCACCCUGUAACUGCCCGGAGAGCUGGCGGUACAGGAUCUGUAAGCGAUACAAACAUCAGGAUCCUCGCCGGUGUCUCUCUGGGGGACAGACGUUUAGAGAAGGUGUGGAAUUUAUGAUGUAACUGAAGAUGUCAAGAGCUUGUUAAUCGGUAUCACCCCAAUCACUUUUCCUUUUAAAAAG